GUUGAAGAACGUAGCGAAAUGCGAUAAGUAGUGUGAAUUGCAGAAUUCAGUGAAUCAUCGAAUCUUUGAACGCACAUUGCGCCCCUUGGUAUCCCGAGGGGCAUGCCUGUUCGAGCGUCAUUUCACCACUCAAGCCUGGCUUGGUGUUGGGCGACGUCCUCUUUGGGGACGCGCCUCGAAACGCUCGGCGGCGUGGCACCGGCUUUAAGCGUAGCAGAAUCUUUCGCUUUGGAAGUCGGGGCCCCGUCUGCCGGAAGACCUGCUCGCAAGGUUGACCUCGGAUCAGGCAGGGAUACCCGCUGAACUUAAGCAUAUCAAUAGCGGAGGA
RNAcentral lists this unclassified non-coding RNA (328 nucleotides) under soil metagenome. RNAcentral's name for it is "partial contains 5.8S ribosomal RNA, internal transcribed spacer 2, and large subunit ribosomal RNA". The stretch from base 1 to 120 matches the Rfam family "5.8S ribosomal RNA", at positions 35 to 154 of the family's 154-position model. The record is from RNAcentral.